RNAcentral lists this transfer RNA (57 nucleotides) under Cricetulus griseus (Chinese hamster). It matches the Rfam family "tRNA", at positions 9 to 63 of the family's 71-position model. Rfam says of the family: Transfer RNA (tRNA) molecules are approximately 80 nucleotides in length. Their secondary structure includes four short double-helical elements and three loops (D, anti-codon, and T loops). The record is from Rfam by way of RNAcentral. Lineage: Eukaryota; Metazoa; Chordata; Mammalia; Rodentia; Cricetidae. RNAcentral also lists the same sequence under 1 other name.
GGCUCAGUGGUUAAGAGCACUGGCUGUUCUUCCAGAGGACCUGGGUUCAAUUCCCAG